RNAcentral lists this ribosomal RNA (512 nucleotides) under uncultured Planctomycetota bacterium. Its description in RNAcentral is "bacterial SSU rRNA". It matches the Rfam family "Bacterial small subunit ribosomal RNA", at positions 370 to 896 of the family's 1533-position model. Lineage: Bacteria; Pseudomonadati; Planctomycetota. The record is from RNAcentral.
AAUGGGCGCAAGCCUGAACGAGCGAUGCCGCGUGAGCGAUGAAGGCCUUCGGGUUGUAAAGCUCAAAAGGGGUGAGAAAGGGCAACUUGAUCGAACCCCAGUAAGCUCGGGCUAAGUUCGUGCCAGCAGCCGCGGUAAGACGAACCGAGCGAACGUUGUUCGGAAUCACUGGGCUUAAAGGGCGCGUAGGCGGGUGCUCAAGUCCGGGGUGAAAUCCCACAGCUCAACUGUGGAACUGCCUCGGAUACUGGGUGUCUCGAGGGUGGUAGGGGGUAUGCGGAACUAUCGGUGGAGCGGUGAAAUGCGUUGAUAUCGAUAGGAACUCCGGUGGCGAAGGCGGCAUACUGGACCACUUCUGACGCUGAGGCGCGAAAGCCAGGGGAGCAAACGGGAUUAGAUACCCCGGUAGUCCUGGCCCUAAACGAUGGGAACUAGCUAGUAGGCUUCACAUGGGUUUACUGGCGAAGCAAAAGUGCUAAGUUCCCCGCCUGGGGAGUAUGGUCGCAAGGCUG